GUGUCACCUAGUGUUCCCUCGAACACUUCAACGAGGAAAGCAGUUUUGAAAUUAUAUACCUUCAUUUCUCCUCUCUGAAGUGUUUGGGGGAACCCCUGGUAGCAU
Molecule: non-coding RNA, 105 nt
Organism: Glycine soja
Lineage: Eukaryota; Viridiplantae; Streptophyta; Magnoliopsida; Fabales; Fabaceae
Source: Rfam